CUGCUAGUCUUGCGUUCUCUAGCCAUAUGAGAGCGCGGCGUACAGCUCACACCUUUCGGCUAACCUGCCCUUGGGACGAAAACAAACCCGGGAACCUGGGGCUAAUUUUCGAUAGGUGAAGAAUUCUGGAAUGACUCUUCGCCUAAAUGGCGCUUAUGUUAUGCUCAUAUACGUUGCCCAAGGAUGGGGCCGCGACCGAUCAGGUUGUUGGUGAGGUAAUGGCUCACCAAGCCUUUUACCGGUACGGGCCGUGGGAGCGGGAGCCCGGAGAUGGGCACUGAGACAAGGGCCCAGGCCCUACGGGGCGCAGCAGUCGCGAAAACUUUGCAAUACACGAAAGUGUGACAGGGCUAUCCCGAGUGCCAUCCGCUGAGGAAGGCUUUUACCCAGUAUAAAUAGCUGGGGGAAUAGGGAGAGGGCAAGACUGGUGUCAGCCGCCGCGGUAAUACCAGCUCUCCGAGUGGUGUGGAUGUUUAUUGGGCCUAAAGCAUCCGUAGCUGGCCAAGUUAGUCCCCUGUUAAAUCCACCGAAUUAAUCGUUGGUGUGCGGGGGAUACUGCUCGGCUAGGGGACGAGAGAGGCAGACGGUAUUUUCGGGGUAGGGGUGAAAUCCUAUAAUCCCGGGAAGACCACCAGUGGCGAAGGCUGUCUGCUAGAACGCGCCCGACGGUGAGGGAUGAAAGCUGGGGGAGCGAACCGGAUUAGAUACCCGGGUAGUCCCAGCUGUAAACGAUGCAGGCUAGGUGUUUGGACGGCCACGAGCCGCUCUAGUGCCGCAGGGAAGCUGUUAAGCCUGCCGCCUGGGGAGUACGAUCGCAAGAUUGAAACUCAAAAGAAUUGACGG
This 843-nucleotide ribosomal RNA is filed under the name uncultured archaeon. RNAcentral's name for it is "bacterial SSU rRNA". It matches the Rfam family "Archaeal small subunit ribosomal RNA", at positions 51 to 871 of the family's 1478-position model. The record is from RNAcentral.